RNAcentral lists this long non-coding RNA (1032 nucleotides) under Ovis aries (sheep). RNAcentral's name for it is "lncRNA (ENSOARG00000025718.1)". The record is from RNAcentral. Lineage: Eukaryota; Metazoa; Chordata; Mammalia; Artiodactyla; Bovidae.
AUGCCACACGAACGGCCUGUGAAGCAGAGACAGCCUCACAGGCGUGCCAGGGCAGGGGAGGCGGCAGGGAAGGGGUGGGCUAGGGCACCGGGCCCGGCAGGGGAGGCGGUUACAGGAUGGACGAGGCACGCAGCGCAGACAGCCGCACUGGACCUCCUGCGGCGGGAAAGGACAGCUAAACCACCCUGCUGCAGAGACAGGAACAGUGCGGAUCAACCACGCUUCAGGCAAAACACAGCGCCAGACACAAGACACGGGGUAGCAGGCCCAGGCGUGUGUCCCCAAAGCCCCUGGCACAGAACCAGGAGUGCAUGGAGCCAGCUGGGCAGACGGCGCCGCGGUCCACACCCACUGGGGCGGCCCACCGCCCAGGCGGGCGAGUUCCGGGCCCCCAGGCAGACGCGCGGGUCACGGGCCCGCUCCUGCUCCCAGGCACCCUUCCCAGGGCAGCCUCGAAAAGGCGAGAAGGCGCACACCCCCCACCCUGGCUCUGGGUGUGGCCGGGCACGGCGCAGCCCUCACUCCACAGACCCACCACCGUGGACUCCCACUGGCUUCCAGAGGACGUGUGGACCGGCCCCAGGAGGUCCUUGCAUAUUUCACGGAGUCGGUAUUCAAACCCUAGUUACAGAAACACAGAACCAGAACAUGUCACAUAGGACCAGAAAGCCGAGCCCAGGCCAAGUUACCACAAACGCAGAGCCCAAGGGACCACCGCUCCGCGCACCACCUACGGCCUGCUGUCUCGGCUCUGGCCCUGACCUGCCCUCUCCCUGGGCACAAGCCCGUUCUGGUGUGGGCAGGGCUGCGGGAGGAGGGGUCGGCAGGGGCUCUGCUGGAGAGGAGGGCAGGCGUGGGUCAGGGGACGGGGUUCCUGGGGCAGAGACAUGGAUGGGCCCCGGAGAGCUGGGCUGAGGGCCAUGCAGCUGCUGGACAGCAGGCGGCCCUGCUGGGCGGGACGGGCUCGAAGGAGGGAGAUAGCUGUGGGCCUACGGGGCUCAGAGGGGCGGGGGGCGCAGAGGCUUCCGGGAG